UGACUCACGCAGGAAUCUUACCGGGUCCGGACACACUGAGGAUUGACAGAUACAUUGCAAAAUAUGAUAGCUCUUUCAUAAUUAUGUGAUAGGUGGUGCAUGGCCGUUCUUAGUUCGUGGAGUGAUCUGUCUGCUUAAUUGCGUUGGUAUAUAUAAUGCAUGUUAAUUGCAUUUUUACCAUGCAACGAACGUGACCGCAACCUCUUGUUGCACUAUAGCUUCUCAUGGUGCAAAACUAGAGGGACCGCUGUAUUUAUUUCUUUUAGCCAGAGGAAGGAUGCGGCAAUAACAGGUCUGUGAUGC
This 303-nucleotide ribosomal RNA is filed under the name Elphidium sp. S7. Its description in RNAcentral is "SSU rRNA". It matches the Rfam family "Eukaryotic small subunit ribosomal RNA", at positions 1196 to 1470 of the family's 1831-position model. Lineage: Eukaryota; Foraminifera; Rotaliida; Elphidiidae. The record is from RNAcentral.